AGAGUUUGAUCCUGGCUCAGGAUGAACGCUAGCUACAGGCUUAACACAUGCAAGUCGAGGGGCAGCAUGGUCUUAGCUUGCUAAGGCCGAUGGCGACCGGCGCACGGGUGAGUAACGCGUAUCCAACCUGCCUUACACUCUUGGACAGCCUUCUGAAAGGGAGAUUAAUACAAGAUGUUAUCAUGAGUAAGCAUUUUCGCAUGAUUAAAGGUUUACCGGUGUAAGAUGGGGAUGCGUUCCAUUAGAUAGUAGGCGGGGUAACGGCCCACCUAGUCUUCGAUGGAUAGGGGUUCUGAGAGGAAGGUCCCCCACAUUGGAACUGAGACACGGUCCAAACUCCUACGGGAGGCAGCAGUGAGGAAUAUUGGUCAAUGGACGAGAGUCUGAACCAGCCAAGUAGCGUGAAGGAUGAAGGUUCUAUGGAUUGUAAACUUCUUUUAUACGGGAAUAAACGAAUCCACGCGUGGAUUUUUGCAUGUACCGUAUGAAUAAGGAUCGGCUAACUCCGUGCCAGCAGCCGCGGUAAUACGGAGGAUCCGAGCGUUAUCCGGAUUUAUUGGGUUUAAAGGGAGCGUAGAUGGGUUGUUAAGUCAGUUGUGAAAGUUUGCGGCUCAACCGUAAAAUUGCAAUUGAUACUGGCAGUCUUGAGUACAGUUGAGGUAGGCGGAAUUCGUGGUGUAGCGGUGAAAUGCUUAGAUAUCACGAAGAACUCCGAUUGCGAAGGCAGCUUACUAACCUGUAACUGACAUUGAUGCUCGAAAGUGUGGGUAUCAAACAGGAUUAGAUACCCUGGUAGUCCACACGGUAAACGAUGAAUACUCGCUGUAGGCGAUAUACAGUCUGCGGCCAAGCGAAAGCAUUAAGUAUUCCACCUGGGGAGUACGCCGGCAACGGUGAAACUCAAAGGAAUUGACGGGGGCCCGCACAAGCGGAGGAACAUAUGGUUUAAUUCGAUGAUACGCGAGGAACCUUACCCGGGCUUAAAUUGCAACCGAAUAUGGCGGAAACGCUAUAGCUAGCAAUAGCGGUUGUGAAGGUGCUGCAUGGUUGUCGUCAGCUCGUGCCGUGAGGUGUCGGCUUAAGUGCCAUAACGAGCGCAACCCUUGCCGAUAGUUACUAACAGGUCAUGCUGAGGACUCUGUCGGGACUGCCAUCGUAAGAUGUGAGGAAGGUGGGGAUGACGUCAAAUCAGCACGGCCCUUACGUCCGGGGCUACACACGUGUUACAAUGGGGGGUACAGAGGGCUGCUACCACGCAAGUGGAUGCCAAUCCCAAAAACCUCUCUCAGUUCGGAUUGAAGUCUGCAACCCGACUUCAUGAAGCUGGAUUCGCUAGUAAUCGCGCAUCAGCCACGGCGCGGUGAAUACGUUCCCGGGCCUUGUACACACCGCCCGUCAAGCCAUGGGAGCCGGGGGUACCUGAAGUGCGUAACCGCAAGGAGCGCCCUAGGGUAAAACUGGUGACUGGGGCUAAGUCGUAACAAGGUAGCCG
Molecule: ribosomal RNA, 1492 nt
Filed under: uncultured bacterium
Lineage: Bacteria
Description: 16S ribosomal RNA
Rfam family: Bacterial small subunit ribosomal RNA
Source: RNAcentral